Molecule: long non-coding RNA, 129 nt
Organism: Cydia amplana
Lineage: Eukaryota; Metazoa; Arthropoda; Insecta; Lepidoptera; Tortricidae
Exons: 2
Source: RefSeq, a predicted model, not a curated record
GAUCAAUGUAUCCUGCCUAUUCUCACUUAUGGAGCCGAAACCUGGGUUUUCACCAAAGGCAUAUUACAGAAAACUGGUGGGGAUCACAUUGAGAGACCGUAAAACGAAUGAGUGGCUGAGACAGCAGAG